UUUUAAAGAGCAAAACCACAAACCAGAGGAGUGGGGAGCGGGUGAGGAGUUGCCAAGGAUACAUGACAUAAGAAUAGUGAAACAUUCCAGAGAAACCCACCCUGAAUGCUUAGUGUCAUUUGGAAAU
This is a non-coding RNA of Arvicanthis niloticus (Nile rat), 127 nucleotides long. The record is from RefSeq and is a predicted model, not a curated record. Lineage: Eukaryota; Metazoa; Chordata; Mammalia; Rodentia; Muridae.